UUUUACCGAUGAUGAGUUGCGGAAAUGAUUGCCUACAUUGUUUGACUGACCUGUGAGAAAACUUGCAACAUCUGAGGAUGCA
Molecule: non-coding RNA, 82 nt
Organism: Oryza brachyantha (malo sina)
Lineage: Eukaryota; Viridiplantae; Streptophyta; Magnoliopsida; Poales; Poaceae
Source: Rfam